UAAGGAAUAUUGGUCAAUGGACGCAAGUCUGAACCAGCCAUGCCGCGUGGAGGAUGAAGGUCCUCUGGAUUGUAAACUUCUUUUAUCUGGGGCGAAAAAAGGGUUUUCUAACCCGUCUGACGGUACCAGAUGAAUAAGCACCGGCUAACUCCGUGCCAGCAGCCGCGGUAAUACGGAGGGUGCAAGCGUUAUCCGGAUUCACUGGGUUUAAAGGGUGCGUAGGCGGGCCUGUAAGUCAGUGGUGAAAUCCUGCAGCUUAACUGCAGAACUGCCAUUGAUACUAUAGGUCUUGAAUGUCCUGGAGGUUUGCGGAAUAUGUCAUGUAGCGGUGAAAUGCUUAGAUAUGACAUAGAACACCUAUUGCGAAGGCAGCAGGCUACGGGAUGAUUGACGCUGAGGCACGAAAGCGUGGGGAUCAAACAGG
This 424-nucleotide ribosomal RNA is filed under the name uncultured bacterium. RNAcentral's name for it is "bacterial SSU rRNA". It matches the Rfam family "Bacterial small subunit ribosomal RNA", at positions 355 to 776 of the family's 1533-position model. The record is from RNAcentral.